This 84-nucleotide non-coding RNA is filed under the name unclassified sequences. RNAcentral describes it as "freshwater-2 RNA". It matches the Rfam family "freshwater-2 RNA". From Rfam's summary of the family: Aquatic, esp. fresh water. No recognized genes The record is from RNAcentral.
GGGCCCUUAAUAGGGACUUAUGGGGAACACCACCCCGUAGCGGCUAGAACCCGCAUUGGGCUUCUAUUAAGGAGAAAACAAAUG